UACAGAGGGGGCAAGCGUUGUUCGGAAUUACUGGGCGUAAAGGGCGCGUAGGCGGCCUUCUAAGUCGAACGUGAAAUCCCCGGGCUCAACCCGGGAACUGCGUCCGAGACUGGAAGGCUUGAAUCCGGGAGAGGGAUGUGGAAUUCCAGGUGUAGCGGUGAAAUGCGUAGAUAUCGGGAGGAACACCUGUGGCGAAGGCGACCCCCUGGUUGGAUACUGACGCUGAGACGCGAAAGCGUGGGGAGCAAACAGG
Molecule: ribosomal RNA, 253 nt
Filed under: uncultured bacterium
Lineage: Bacteria
Description: partial 16S ribosomal RNA
Rfam family: Bacterial small subunit ribosomal RNA
Source: RNAcentral